GAGGAAUAAGCAUCGGCUAACUCCGUGCCAGCAGCCGCGGUAAUACGGGGGAUGCAAGCGUUAUCCGGAAUCAUUGGGCGUAAAGCGCCUGUAGGUUGUUUAAUAAGUCUGUUGUUAAAGACUAGGGCUCAACCCUAGAAAAGCAAUGGAAACUACUAGACUAGAGUAUGGCAGGGGUAGAGGGAAUUUCUAGUGUAGCGGUGAAAUGCGUAGAUAUUAGAAAGAACACCGGUGGCGAAAGCGCUCUACUGGACCAUUACUGACACUCAGAGGCGAAAGCUAGGGUAGCAAAAGGGAUUAGAUACCCCUGUAGUCCUAGCCGUAAACGAUGGAUACUACAUGUUGUGCUUUAUGUACAGUAUGGUAGCUAACGCGUUAAGUAUCCCGCCUGGGGAGUACGCUCGCAAGGGUGAAACUCAAAGGAAUUGACGGGGGCCCGCACAAGCGGUGGAGCAUGUGGUUUAAUUCGAUGCAACGCGAAGAACCUUACCAGGACUUGACAUACUACAAAUUCUUUUGAGAAAAAGAAGUGCCUUCGGGAAUGUAGAUACAGGUGGUGCAUGGCUGUCGUCAGCUCGUGUCGUGAGAUGUUGGGUUAAGUCCCGCAACGAGCGCAACCCUUAUUUUUAGUUACCAAUUCGUUGGGUUCUCUAGAAAGACUGCCGGUGACAAACCGGAGGAAGGUGAGGAUGACGUCAAGUCAGCAUGCCCCUUAUGUCCUGGGCUACACACGUGCUACAAUGGUUAAGACAAAGAGUCGCGAGCUCGCAAGAGUCAGCUAAUCUCAUAAACUUAGCCCAAGUUCAGAUUGUAGGCUGCAACUCGCCUACAUGAAG
Molecule: ribosomal RNA, 836 nt
Filed under: Haptophyta environmental samples
Lineage: Eukaryota; Haptophyta
Description: bacterial SSU rRNA
Rfam family: Bacterial small subunit ribosomal RNA
Source: RNAcentral